This 1730-nucleotide unclassified non-coding RNA is filed under the name Acromyrmex echinatior (Panamanian leafcutter ant). RNAcentral's name for it is "uncharacterized LOC105149343, transcript variant X4". Lineage: Eukaryota; Metazoa; Arthropoda; Insecta; Hymenoptera; Formicidae. The record is from RNAcentral.
GAGUAUAAAUUGUUCAAUUGGCAAUGUGAUAACAUCACAUCAUGAAGAGUCUGUACGGCCAAACACAAAAUGGGAAGAUUCCAAUUAACCACGUUGCACAAUUGAUCAUUCACAACAAUAGUCGAUUGAAGUUUAUUUAUUGACAUGGGCGUAAGCAAGGGAAACAGAGCCAAUCACAAUGCAGCAAGUCAGUUGUAAUCGUCAAUUUUGUUUGUCGUAAUUAUGGAUGUGUAAACAAUUCUAUUUCUUAAAUUAAUCAUUGAUUAAAUUAAUUGGAGUUUGAUCAAUCAAAAAAUAGAUACUGCAAACAAAACGUUUCUUCUUCAAUAAAUUCUGGAACGCGGUCGUUAUUGAAUAUUUACCGACCAUGAGGUAUCAUUGUUACCGACUGUUUAUCUGACAUACAAAACGGGAUGUCUGGAAAAUGUCUGAAUCUUGAGGGAGAAUCGACAGCCGUGCAACAACCAAGUCGGGGAGAUGCAAUCGGCGAUGAAACAUUAUUACAAUAUUAACAAGAUAUUCUUGUCGAAACUUGGCGGUUGGCCAACGCAAAGUAAAUUCAUGAAAAUAUUGUUGCCGACUAUAAUAACGUCUUUUGUUUUCAGCAUCGGUUUUCUCCAGUUUGUAAGACUGUCUGAAAGAUGGCAAACCAUAACCGAGGACUGUGAAUGCUUCAUUGUAAUGUUAAUUACAUUUGGCGCUUACUGUAAAUUGUUUACCAUAGUUUUUAAAAAUAAGAAUGUAAGAUUUUUUCUUCUUUUGCCUAAGCCCUUAAAAAUCACAAGACGCGGAUUGUAUCCUUCGUUUUGCAUUGUUUCUCAGCUAGAACACCUGUUGUCACUCAUCGAUUAUCAUUGGCGAAUUUUUACGCAUUCUUUGGAGAUACAAAUUAUGCACGAAUACGCUAUCGUAGGAAGAAAAAUGACGAUAAGUUACGCCGUUAUGAUUUAUUCGUUGAUGAGUCUUUACAUGCUGAUCCCAGUAACACCGCAAUUAUUGGAUCUCUUUAUUCCUCUUAAUAAAUCGCGCUCUUACAAAUACCUGUUCGAUAUCGACUACAGCUUCGACAGAGAGGUGUAUUAUUAUCCUGUAUUACUCCAUUCAUAUCUGACAACUGUACUGACUAUGAGCCUCAUGGUAAUAACCGAUACGAGCUACAUGUCGCUCGCGCAACAUGCGUGCAGUCUGUUCGCCGCUGUUGGGCACCGACUAGAAAAUCUAGUCCCGGAAAGUAAUUCAAAGAAAAACAAUUAUUUUGUUGAGGAUGUAAAGGAUGUAAUUUGUGAUAAGAGCAACUCACGAGAUUAUGAAGACCAGACUUAUCACGAACUGGUACUUCUCUUGCGGAAACACCAGCUGAGUAUUCAAUAUGCCCGUUUAUUGAAUUCUUUAUUUGAAAUGUAUUCAUUUAUGUUACUCUUCAUUACUAUCCUUAUUAUGAGUCUCUUGGGAAUUCAAAUAAUUUCCUUAAUGAAUCAUAAAGAAGAGAUGGUCAGAUACGUAGCGAUGGUAAUAGGUGCUUUCAUACAUCUUUUCGUUUUGAGUUAUCCCGGCCAAAAAAUAAUGGACCAUAGUGCAGAUAUAUUCCACAAAGCGUAAAUAUGUCGCACCAAAGUUAUUCGCGCGAUGUGGAAAAAUAAAACAAAACUGUGAUACAACAUGUUGUGGUACAAAACGUCACGAAGAACGACACGGCUGUUGAGUAUAUUACUUUACAGAGGUUUUGUGCC